GCAACAGCGUAGUCACAAGGCAAGUCCAGAGAUCAGAUAACCUGAAUCCAAGAGCAAGAAAUACAGGAACAACAAGGCUGGUUGUUGAUUGCAAAGAACCUCUGCAGCUGAAGGUCUUUUAAAAGGCCUCUGAUUCUCUCAGCUGAAACCUAUUAGCUCUCCUCUUGGCUUCUAGCCUGGAAGAACGCCUGAAAGACUCCUUGACCUGCCUUCUCUCCACAGGUCCUAGCACCUGCAGCCUCAAGUCCAUAGAGUCUGUUUCUCCCUCUGUAUCUUCCUGAACCUGCACUGGGACUGCUGAUCCAGGCAACCACAGAUCUGCCUCUGUCUUAGCCUCCUCCAUUUUUUCAGAGUCUGAGUCCUCUGACUGUGCCUCUAAGUCAGGCCCAGGGCAGUCCAUGACAUACAGUAUAUAAGUGGCCCAGGAGGCAGGUCACAUGUGGAUUUUUGGAUUGGUAUGGUUGGAUAGCUUGUGGUUUGGACUGAAUUGAAGCUGUAAGCUGGAGAAGUUGAUGGGAGUUGGCAAGGAGAGAUUGUAAAUAAUUGUACAUAUUACAACUCAAGAUAAAGAACGUCCAAGGACUUAGAAGAUAUCAACUGUGUCUGUGAGAUACUUUAUCAGUGUGGAAAGUGUGCAAUUGUGGCAAUCCAUUAAGUUAAAAAAAUGGAGAAACAGAAGGGGAAAAAAAAAAGAAAAAUAACCUACUUGGGAAUAGUGAGGAGGAGAGGAGUAGAAUCAUGCCUACUUGCAUCACAUGAUUGCCUGCAGAACUGCAGCAGGAGAACUUACACACUUAAAUCCACAGUGCAAAAGCAGAGCAAUUGGGGGACACUGAGAAGGCAUCCUCUGGGAACAGAUGAAUUAUAGACCAGCUACUGGACAGAAACAGCUUCAUGUGAUAAGGAGGAAUGCCCAAGGAGGCAAUGGAACAUAGAUGAUUCUUGCCUUUCAUCUGGAAGCUACUGCCAUCAUUCACAAAUAUCAUCUCUGUGAAAACAGAAGUGGAAGCUAAUGGAUAUGAUAUGAAGAGCUUAGAUUUUUCAUUGUGUGAGUACACAUUUAGCGAAUUUCAGGCUUGAGAGAACAGCAAGUCCAGUGAAGCUAAUAAGAACAAGAACUGCAUUAACAACAUC
This is a long non-coding RNA of Sceloporus undulatus (fence lizard), 1134 nucleotides long. RefSeq lists it as uncharacterized. Lineage: Eukaryota; Metazoa; Chordata; Lepidosauria; Squamata; Phrynosomatidae. The transcript has 4 exons. The record is from RefSeq and is a predicted model, not a curated record.